UUCAGCUUGGCAGAUUAAUGCAAUAAAUUUAGAAUUUAUUUAUGAGAAAACUCAGUUGAUA
RNAcentral lists this transfer RNA (61 nucleotides) under Rhipicephalus sanguineus (brown dog tick). Its description in RNAcentral is "tRNA-Leu". The record is from RNAcentral. Lineage: Eukaryota; Metazoa; Arthropoda; Arachnida; Ixodida; Ixodidae. RNAcentral also lists the same sequence under 1 other name.